UGUAUAAUGGGUCAGCGACUUAUAUUCUGUAGCAAGGUUAACCGAAUAGGGGAGCCGAAGGGAAACCGAGUCUUAACUGGGCGUUAAGUUGCAGGGUAUAGACCCGAAACCCGGUGAUCUAGCCAUGGGCAGGUUGAAGGUUGGGUAACACUAACUGGAGGACCGAACCGACUAAUGUUGAAAAAUUAGCGGAUGACUUGUGGCUGGGGGUGAAAGGCCAAUCAAACCGGGAGAUAGCUGGUUCUCCCCGAAAGCUAUUUAGGUAGCGCCUCGUGAAUUCAUCUCCGGGGGUAGAGCACUGUUUCGGCAAGGGGGUCAUCCCGACUUACCAACCCGAUGCAAACUGCGAAUACCGGAGAAUGUUAUCACGGGAGACACACGGCGGGUGCUAACGUCCGUCGUGAAGAGGGAAACAACCCAGACCGCCAGCUAAGGUCCCAAAGUCAUGGUUAAGUGGGAAACGAUGUGGGAAGGCCCAGACAGCCAGGAUGUUGGCUUAGAAGCAGCCAUCAUUUAAAGAAAGCGUAAUAGCUCACUGGUCGAGUCGGCCUGCGCGGAAGAUGUAACGGGGCUAAACCAUGCACCGAAGCUGCGGCAGCGACGCUUAUGCGUUGUUGGGUAGGGGAGCGUUCUGUAAGCCUGUGAAGGUGUACUGUGAGGUAUGCUGGAGGUAUCAGAAGUGCGAAUGCUGACAUAAGUAACGAUAAAGCGGGUGAAAAGCCCGCUCGCCGGAAGACCAAGGGUUCCUGUCCAACGUUAAUCGGGGCAGGGUGAGUCGACCCCUAAGGCGAGGCCGAAAGGCGUAGUCGAUGGGAAACAGGUUAAUAUUCCUGUACUUGGUGUUACUGCGAAGGGGGGACGGAGAAGGCUAUGUUGGCCGGGCGACGGUUGUCCCGGUUUAAGCGUGUAGGCUGGUUUUCCAGGCAAAUCCGGAAAAUCAAGGCUGAGGCGUGAUGACGAGGCACUACGGUGCUGAAGCAACAAAUGCCCUGCUUCCAGGAAAAGCCUCUAAGCAUCAGGUAACAUCAAAUCGUACCCCAAACCGACACAGGUGGUCAGGUAGAGAAUACCAAGGCGCUUGAGAGAACUCGGGUGAAGGAACUAGGCAAAAUGGUGCCGUAACUUCGGGAGAAGGCACGCUGAUAUGUAGGUGAAGUCCCUCGCGGAUGGAGCUGAAAUCAGUCGAAGAUACCAGCUGGCUGCAACUGUUUAUUAAAAACACAGCACUGUGCAAACACGAAAGUGGACGUAUACGGUGUGACGCCUGCCCGGUGCCGGAAGGUUAAUUGAUGGGGUUAGCGGUAACGCGAAGCUCUUGAUCGAAGCCCCGGUAAACGGCGGCCGUAACUAUAACGGUCCUAAGGUAGCGAAAUUCCUUGUCGGGUAAGUUCCGACCUGCACGAAUGGCGUAAUGAUGGCCAGGCUGUCUCCACCCGAGACUCAGUGAAAUUGAACUCGCUGUGAAGAUGCAGUGUACCCGCGGCAAGACGGAAAGACCCCGUGAACCUUUACUAUAGCUUGACACUGAACAUUGAGCCUUGAUGUGUAGGAUAGGUGGGAGGCUUUGAAGUGUGGACGCCAGUCUGCAUGGAGCCGGCCUUGAAAUACCACCCUUUAAUGUUUGAUGUUCUAACGUUGGCCCCUGAUCGGGGUUGCGGACAGUGUCUGGUGGGUAGUUUGACUGGGGCGGUCUCCUCCUAAAGAGUAACGGAGGAGCACGAAGGUUGGCUAAUCCUGGUCGGACAUCAGGAGGUUAGUGCAAUGGCAUAAGCCAGCUUGACUGCGAGCGUGACGGCGCGAGCAGGUGCGAAAGCAGGUCAUAGUGAUCCGGUGGUUCUGAAUGGAAGGGCCAUCGCUCAACGGAUAAAAGGUACUCCGGGGAUAACAGGCUGAUACCGCCCAAGAGUUCAUAUCGACGGCGGUGUUUGGCACCUCGAUGUCGGCUCAUCACAUCCUGGGGCUGAAGUAGGUCCCAAGGGUAUGGCUGUUCGCCAUUUAAAGUGGUACGCGAGCUGGGUUUAGAACGUCGUGAGACAGUUCGGUCCCUAUCUGCCGUGGGCGCUGGAGAACUGAGGGGGGCUGCUCCUAGUACGAGAGGACCGGAGUGGACGCAUCACUGGUGUUCGGGUUGUCAUGCCAAUGGCACUGCCCGGUAGCUAAAUGCGGAAGAGAUAAGUGCUGAAAGCAUCUAAGCACGAAACUUGCCCCGAGAUG
RNAcentral lists this ribosomal RNA (2214 nucleotides) under Escherichia coli. Its description in RNAcentral is "partial 23S ribosomal RNA". It matches the Rfam family "Bacterial large subunit ribosomal RNA", at positions 609 to 2806 of the family's 2925-position model. Lineage: Bacteria; Pseudomonadati; Pseudomonadota; Gammaproteobacteria; Enterobacterales; Enterobacteriaceae. The record is from RNAcentral.